Molecule: long non-coding RNA, 27075 nt
Filed under: Ananas comosus (pineapple)
Lineage: Eukaryota; Viridiplantae; Streptophyta; Magnoliopsida; Poales; Bromeliaceae
Description: long non-coding RNA (ACOM_LNC002597)
Source: RNAcentral
AAAAAAAUUUCUUUUAAAAUAGUUUGUCUUGUGGUUUAGAUUGAAAGAUUUAGACACCACAGAAUGAGAUGACCUGGAUGAUCAACAGCUGGCGCGGUGCACCAAACAAUAAUUUAACAUUGCUUAAUUUCUCGUAUAGCCGGGCUAGAGUCCGGCUACUAUACUCUUAUAAGUAUAGGUCCCUUUGCACUCAUAAGUUCUCAGUCGUUAAAUUUAAUCUUUUGAUUAUUUCCUCCCGUUAGAUCAUACUAUUCAACUAACCGCCCACUCAACCCUAAAGGACUGCUAUCAUCCUAGCUAUGAAUCACCAUCAUUCCAACCGCACAUCUCUUUAUCAAACGGUCAAAAAUUUAUGAGUACAAAUGAGCCUAUACUUGUAAGAGUAUAAUAACUCUAGCAGCCUGGCUAUUUGUACAUUUCAAAAAAAUAAUAAAUUUUACAACACAAGUUGUAUCGAUGCGUAUCGAUCACAAAAUAAUAACAGUAAAUAUUUAUCUUUUUCACACUAAUAUACGAUUAACUAUUUACUAAUUUAUAAAAAAAAGUAAAUUUUAAAUCGUGUCAUCACCUUGUGGUUGGAAAAUUAUACUAUGCUGAUAUUUUGUCCGUACGACACAAUACAGUAGGAACUUAAAAUCUUUGAAUCAUUUACUUGUCUUAAUCAAAUUCCAUUGCAGGUAUUUGCAAGACAUUAGUAAGUCUAAAAAAAUGAUAAGAAAAUGUUGGGAAGAUAUCUUGCCUCGUCGACAUAAAAGACAAUAUUUCAAUUUUAAUAUUCAAUGAUAUGAAUUCAUUACAAAAAAAAAAGCAACGGAAUAAUUUGCCAAAUACAAAGAAGGAAAGGAGCAUAAUUAGAAGGAUUUCAUAUGUCAAACUUCUCCACAUCAUCAGUAUUAAUAUAUUAUAAUAGUAUUUUGAAAAACUUACAGUAAUAUUUAAACUUUGAAUAGUCAUAUAAAUUUCUGUGUUUAUUUUAUUAGUUGGCUACUAAAAUCAAUUUUCUUCUCAAUUGUUUCAAACUUUUUAUUUUUCCUACUAAUUUCCUGUUAAUUAAUAAAUACCAUAAGGGUACAUAUGCAAAUUCCCCCCAGAUUAAAAUCAAGCCCACGGGUGGGGGGUCCUUCUGCAGCCUUUUUACCCUUCCCACUCUUUCGGCUCCGCCUUCGUCUUUUUAAAUUAAAUAAAUAAUAAAAUAAAUAAAAAACCCAAUUUUUUUUUUCUUUUUUUAAAUUAUUUUUUAUUAUUUGAGUUACUUUGUCUUGACCCCCACCCACUCUCUCUAUAUAUAUAGAGGCCAGAGGAAGGCCACAGUCCACAAUCAAAAGAGAGGAAAAAAAUCAUCACACACAAACUCGCGGAGGAGAGAAAAGUAGAGAGAUGGACGCGAAGGGCGGUCGCGUCCAGAUCGGAUUCCAGGCGGGGAGCAACGCCGUCCCCACUCGGGAUGUUCAAAUUUUGACAUCCGGCGGCCGCAAAAUUUCCGCCCAUACUGCAGUUCUUGUAAGCACCCGAAACCUUCAAUCGAAAAGACAUUCAAAACUUUAUGUACUACAAUACAAUUAGAUACUCUUGAGUCCCAGAAGCUUACUAAGCGUAUAAUCGAUGUCUAAUCAUAUGCACUUUUUUAAAAAAGUAUUAAAUUUAUAUUUGUUUGUUUGUUUGUUUGUUUGUUUGUUUACAGGCCGCGGCGUCGCCGGUGAUGGAGAGUAUAUUGGAUCGGGCACAAAAGCGUGGAAAACCGCGCAGGGUUAUUAGGAUUCUGGGAGUCCCCUGUGACGCUGUAACGGCGUUUGUGCGGUUGAUACACUCUUCUGGGUAUGUGUUUUUUUCUUUUUUUCUUUUUUCUUUUUUUUGGGUUAAAUUGAUUUUAUUUAAAUAUUUAGUAAAAGAAAGGAAAAGUAAAUCUAAUGCAUUGAGGACCCUAUGUUUAAGGAGAAAUUAUUGCCCUGUAUCGUGAUGUAGUACCAUGCUCUGCUUUUAAUUAAAAAUAUUUUAAAUUUCAUUUGAUUCUAAUAUAAAUAUUGUAGGAAUAGGUGCGAGUUUCGUUAUAAGCAAAAAUUAGAGUAAGUUUUUGUUUAGAAUUAUUUCUGAGAAUAAAAUAAAUAAUAUUUGAAUAGGCUCCGUUUGGCUCGAAUAUAAAUAAGAAUUAUUUAUUGUAGAGAUAUGUACAAGUUUCGCUAUAUGUAGAAACUAGAUUAAGUUUUUAUUUGGAAUUGUUUCUAGGAAUAAGAUAAAUAGUAUUUGAAUGAUUCGAUUGCAAUAGUAAAAAUAAAAUUAAUAAAUUAAUAAAUAUAAGUAUUAGUUAAUUAAUUACUUAAAUAAUAUAUUAAUGAAUUAAUUAGUUAAUUAUAGAUAAUUAGUUAAAAAUUAAAUAUGUUACUCAAAAUAUUAAUAGUUGAUCAAUAUGAAUAUUGAUUAUUAAGUAAAUUGGUUAAAAUAUCUUUUUUUAAUUAUUUAAUUAAUUGUAAAUAAUAAAAUUAAUUAAUUACUUUACUAUUUAAGCAGCAGGUAAUGACUUAAAUAUGUUAAUUAGAUUAAUUAGUAAUUUAAUAUCAUAGUUAAAAUUAGAUUAAAUUUUAAUUAAUUUUGUUCCCACUUACGAAUAAUCUUGUUCCAGAAAAUAGGGUGGAACAACUGUUCCAAAAUUAUAUUGGAUUAUACCAAGUUAUUAAUAUUUGAAAAUAAAAAGGGAAACAGUGAUUUAUUCUCUUUUUGUUCCUAAACGAAACAUUACCUAAAAUUAAAUUGUAAUAUGUUACAUAUAAAUUGUUCGCUGAUCUCGGAAGUGCUUACAAACAUUCCACAAAAUUGCGACAAACUCAUAAUUUUACUCUUCAGCUCCAUUAUUCAUGAGCGAAACAUUACCUAAACUUAAGUUUUAAUAUGUUAGACGUAAAUUGUUAAUUGAUCUUGAAGCAAACAAUACUUUUCUUACAAACAUUCCACAAUAUUCAUCAUUUCAAUAAAUGAAACGAUUAGCAUAUUAUCAUUUUUUUAAAAAAAAUAUUUCACAAUAUUGCGAUAAACUUAUAAUUUUACUCUUCAGCUUUAUUAUUCGUGAAAAAUCUGUAAAGACAAACUCAUAAUUUUACUCUUCAAUUCCAUUAUUCAUGAAAAAUCUGCAAAGACAAAUUCAUAAUUUUACUCUUCAGCUUCGUUAUUAGUGAAAAAUCUGCAGAGAUUCGAACACGUGACCCCUCUACACUGUGUCCAGGUGUCUUAAAAAUUAUAUUCAAAUUUCGAAGUAUAUUUUAGUUGAAUAUGUGUGACUUGGCUGAUGCACGGCUAAGCUGGUGCAUCGGGUGCGGACAAUAAUUUCUCAUCAUAACUGGUGCCUGUUUCUUGGACCAAUGUAUGUACUUGGUCAUCUUCAUGCUCAUCGCUGUCACAUGCACCGUUCGAAACUAAAGAAAAUAAAAAAAUCAAGGGUCCAGAAUCUUCCUCAUGGCUCUGAGAAUUUCACAUUUCCCUGUCAAAAAUUACAUUUUUUUUAAAUUUUUUUAAUUUUAAGUUAAUUCUUACUUGGGGGUCCCACGCAACUCUUAUGUCGUCCCUUUCAUCCAAUCACAGCCCUCCAUUCGUCCGUUUCAGGAAUUGUACACGGUCCAUUUCGUUCUAUGAUAGGCAUAAUAAUUGACUCAACACCACCUAGCAGAUGUUUUUCUGUGGAUCAUGUGCCACGAUGCAUAAUACACGGUCACAAUAAUUUUAGUUCUUAUUUUUCACUUUAUUAAGGUAAUAAAGAGUACACAAAUUUUUUGGAUGUGACUGAAUAUCUAUGAAUAAUAAGAAAUAAAUUAAUCAAUCAAUAUAAGCAUUUUUUACACUGUUUAUGAUAAAAUAUUAUAUUAUCAUUCAUAUUUUAAAUAUUUGAUUGAACUUCAAAUUUAAUCCCAAUGCCCAACUUAUGGCGUAGAAACGGAUCAUGUCAUGUCAAUCAGGUGCGUGUCCUUGGACGAGGAGGAGGAGAUGGGCAGGUACGGGCUGCACCUGCUGGUGCUGUCGCACGCGUACAGCGUGGGGUGGCUGAAGCGCGCGUGCGAGGGGGCGCUGGCGCUGCGGCUGACGGCGGAGGGCGUGGCGGACGUGUUGCUGCUGGCGCGGCAGUGCGACGCCCCGCGGCUGUACCUCCGCUGCAUGAAGCUGCUGGCCAAGGACUUCGCCGCCGUCAAGAAGACCGAGGCCUGGCAGUUCCUCCAGGCCAACGACCCCUGGCUCGAGCUCGAAAUCCUCCAGUUCCUCCAGGAGGCCGAACUGGUACGUCACCAAAAUGUAUUAUGUUUGGUUCUCCCGUAGAAUAUAGUAAUUUUUGACAAUUCAUAUAAAUAAAUAAAUAAAUAAAUAGAUAGAUAAAAAUAUAUAAAAUUUAUCUGAAUUAUGAAUUAUUUUGAUAGAGAAAGAAGCGGGUUGGGCGCAAGCUGGCGUACCAGCGGGUGUAUGAAGAGCUGGGGGACGCAAUGGAGUGCCUGCAGCACAUGUACGUGGGCAAGGAGGGAAGCAAGAAGAACCACCCCUGCUCCUCAUCUGCCUGCUACCGCAACCUGCAGCUCCUCAUCCAACACCUCGCCGCCUGCCCCCGCAGGAAAGCCUGCCCCCGCUGCUGCCGCAUGUUGCAGCUCCUCCGCCUCCACUCCGCCAUCUGCGACGACAGCACGCAACAGGCUUGCCGCAUCCCUCUUUGCUCGUAAGUCUCUACGCUGCUAUCGUAAAAGAAUUUGUUAGUUAAUGCUUUUAUCAUCCGCCUACGUUCAGGUGUAUCUGAGUCAUUUGGCUUUCAUAUGACUGAUGAUUGUUUAGGAAACAUUGGGAGGGAGUAUGCUGAGUUGGUGGUUGAUUGAUUUUAUAGUCUAUUUGGUACCACUUCUGUAUCUGUUCUCAGCAGCAGCAGCAGCAGUAUCAAGGAGAAAUUCUGGAGCUUCUGCUGUAGCGAGAAACUGAAAUUAGAUUUUCAACGUCAAAAACGAAUUACGUAAUGCUUCUUCUAAUAGCACGACAUCUAUUGGCAGUGUAAUCGCUCUAAUGUUUGGGGAGUUUGACAUAUUUUUCCUUUUCUUUUUGUUAGAGAACAAACUUAACCACUGAUGCCCUGCUUGUUGGGUUUUCCGUCUAUACCUGCAGGCACUUCAAGCUGAGAAUGCAGCAGCAGAAGGAAGAUUCUCAGCAGCAGCAGAAGGAAGGGAAAGAAGAGGACGACACGUGGCAGCUUCUGGUGAAGAAGGUGAAGGUUGCUCGAGUUAUGUCCUCCUUCUCUAAGAGGAAGGGACAGGAAGGAGUUCAUGAGCAAUUCGCCCUUUGCUCUACUACUGCAAAGACCAGUGACUAAUGUCAUGGAAAUUUUCUUUUUCCUUUUGUUCUUUCCCCCCUGUUAGUAAGGAAUUAAGAUGCGCCUUCCUUAUAAAGAGAGCAGCUCGAUGCACGUAUAUGCAUGCCAAUCUUCUAGAGAGAGAGUUCUUAGCUUGUUAAAAAAAGGAGCAUGCAGCUGUUAUAGAAGUGAAACUUGUAUUAGAUAAUAGUUUGGUGUGUGUAUAUGUAUGUCUAUCUUCUAGAGAGAGAAAGAGUUUUUAGCUUGUAAAAAUGGGGCAGGCAGCUGUUAUAGAAGUGGAACUUGUAUUAGAGAAGAGUUUGGUGUGUGUAUAUGUAUGUCUAUCUUCUAGAGAGAGAGAGAAAGAGUUCUUAGCUUGUUAAAAAAUGGUAGGUAGCUGUUAUAGAAGUGGAACUUGUAUUAGAGAGGAGUUUGGUGUGUGUAUAUGUAUGUCUAUCUUCUAUAGAGAGAGAAAGAGUUCUUAGCUUGCAAAAAUGGGGCAGACAACUGUUAUAGAAGUGGAACUUGUAUUAGAGAGGAGCUUGGUGUGUAUAUGUAUGUCUAUAUUCUAGAGAGAGAGAGAAAGAGUUCUUAGCUUGCUAAAAAAGGGCAGUAGCUGUUAUAGAAGUAGAACUUGUAUUAAAAAGGAGUUUAGUGUGUUUAUGUAUGUCUAUCUUCUAGAGAGAGAGAAAGAGUUCUUAGCUUGCAAAAAUAGGGCAGACAGCUGUUAUAGAAGUGAAACUUGUAUUAGAGAGGAGCUUGGUGUGUGUCUAUGCAUGUCUAUCUUCUAGAGAGACAGAAAGAGCUCUUAACUUGCAAAAAAAGGGCAGGCAGCUAUUAUAAAAGUGGAACUUGUAUUAGAGAGGAGCUUGAUGUGUGUAUAUGUAUGUUUAUCUUUUAGAGAGAGAGACUUCUUAGUUUAUAUAAAAAGGGGCAGGUAGCUGUUAUAGAAGUGGAAUUUGUAUUAGAGAGGAGCUUGGUGUGUAUAUAUGUAUGCCUAUCUUUCAGAGAGAAUCACUCCAGCUGUUAUAAAAGUGGAUCUUGUAUUAGCAUAAGAACAAUUAGUUACAUUUUGCAACUAACUUAAGAUAUAAUAUGCAAUAAGAAACUUAAGCUGAUCAUGAUUUUUAAAUAUAAUUGAUUCAUCGAAUGACGAACGUACAAAUGUCUUUUUGGAUGCUUAGCAUAGUAUUUCGCUUUUGUUUACUCAAGAGUGUUGCAGUAAUUCUUGCAAUUGAUAGCCGAAAAAUGCGAUCAAUAUCUAUAACUAUAAUAUAUAAUAAAAAUAAAUGGGCUAAAAGACUCAAUUUUUAAUAAAAAUAAAAUAAUCUUUAUUUUUAUAAAAUAAGUUAUUAUUAAAUAAUUUAUUUUACCAUCCAAAUGAACCUUAAAAUUUACAUUUCCUCCGCAUUUCCUGGUAAUGAAGCUGACCCUAGUUUUCUCCAUGCAAAUCAGGUUAGAGUCGAUAGAUCAGAAUGUCGUAAUCAAAUUACAAUCUUUGAAGUUUCCCUAAUGAAAGAGAUCUCUAAGUUAAGAAAUUCGAGUCUAGUCUACAGUAAUUAAAGAUUAUUUGACGUGUAGAAUUAGGUAUGCAUGUCAGCAAUGACUAAGUUGAAAAAGUCCAUUAGUACGUUCUAUUAAUUUAAUUCAUCGUCACGCCUUUUACUUUAUGAACUUGACCACACGCCUAAUGACAGAUCAAUCACUCCAGAGAUCAUUUACGCGCUGAUGAAACAAUUUUUAUUUCAUUUAGCUGCUGAUCGCAAUUUUGUCCGAUGAAGCCGCCUUAGGAGGACCGGAAUUCGAGAAUUACGCAGGAGUAAAACUUAAUAAAGAGGUUUUCUUACUCCGAACUAUAACCGCCUAUUUGGUACAUUUGACUGAAAAUUGAGUUCCUAAUUUUCAACAAUUUAGUACGGUAGUCCAACGCAAAAUUCACGAAGUUUAAGUGAAGCCAAAGUAACUUCUGCCGUGAUCAAGAAGGACACGAGCCAACAGCUCAUCCGUGGCAGCAUUAGACCGACGGGCCACAGACGAGCAUCCUUGGCUUGGGGCAAAGCUUUGGCAGAGAGCGGAAAAGGUUCUGGUCCUUCACAGCCUCGGGUCGGGAUACAGCACGGCACGGAUACUAUAAUACUAUUGCCAGGCCAGACCGGCCUGAGCCUCUGGGCUGUGCUGGGCUGCUCCUCUGUGGCCCGACGGCCUGGCACGGCGGGAGGCCGAUCUUCAUACUUGGGAUAUUUUUUGAAUAUCCCAUCAACCAAUAUCUCAAUAAAUUCAUGGACCACAAUUUUAUGGAUGUACAGAUACAGCAGAUUUUAGUGUGUUCAGAUCGAGAUAUUUGGACAGCUUGCAACAACUAGUACUAUUUUUUUUUUUUUUUCCCCUCAAAAAAGAAAUAAUACUAAGGUACAUUUUAAUUUAUUAUGAUAAAAAUAUUAGAGGUUGAGAGGAUACCACCCUCCAUAAGUUUAGUCGAGUCUCUUUCUAAGCAGCGUCAGUUCUGACAUUUACGACUAAACUUCUAAUAGCCUGAUGAUAAUGUACACGUAACCUAUACACAUAACGUCCUAUCUUAAGAUUAUGACGUUCCAACUUGUGUCUGUGCCCAUAAGAUUUUUUCUUGGGCCAAGUGUUUAGAAUAGAUUUUUGAAAUAAAAGAAAUAAGGAAAGAAAAAAAAGAAAAAGACAUUGAGGUCGCUUCUGGCCCCAGCUUUUCAUAAAAUCUACACGCGCCGUGCUCGACCCGAAGGGACCAUGGAUUGCAGUGGCGAUAGAACAAUCUAAAUCUAAGCAUCCAACCCAUUUCAUUCAAUUUGAUCCUAGCCGUUGGAUUUCAUAGUGCUAAUUAAUGUUGCCAAAGAAUUAUUCGUUAAUUACUCGUAUUCUUUUUUUGUUAAUUGCCCGAAUCUUUUUUUUUGAAAAAUAAAUUUUCUCUUAAAAUAGUUAGUGUUGUGGGUUUAGAUCGAAAGAUUUAGACAUGACAGAAUGACCGGAUGGUCCACAGCUAGUGCAGUGCUCUAAGCAAUAAUUUAACAUUGCUUAAUUUGUCGUAUAGCCUGGCUAUUUAUACAUUCCAAAAAAAAAAUAAAUUUUACAACACAAGUUGUGUCGAUGCGUGUGGCUAUUUAUACAUUCCAAAAAAAUAAUAAAUUUUACAACACAAGUUGUGUCGAUGCGUGUGGCUAUUUAUACUUUCCAAAAAGAAAAAAUUUACAAUACAAGUUGUGUCGAUACGAGUGGCUAUUUAUACUUUCCAAAAAAAAAAAAAUUUACAACACAAGUUGUGUCGAUACAUGUUGUUCACAAAAUAAUAACAGUAAAUAUUUAUCUUUGUCACGCCCAUAUACUAUUAACUAUUUACUAAUUUAUAAGAAAAGUAUUAUUUUUUUAGAGAGAUAGGUAGCUUGCUACCUGCUUCGUUUAUUUUGUUUAAAAAUAAACUUAGCUGGAAAUGUGAAUCAACUAGGAUUCGAAUCUGGAUCUCGGGUACCAACCACCAAGUCCUUUGCCACUUGUUCUAGGGACGGUCGGUAAAAAAAAAAAAAAGUAAAUUUUAAAUCGUGUCAUCACCUUACGGUAGGAAAAUUAUACUAUGCUGAUAUUUUGUUGGUACCACACAACGCAGCAGGAACUUAAAAUCUUUGGAUCCUUUACUUCUUUUAAUCAAAUUCCAUUGCAGGUAUUUGCAAGACAUUAGUAAGUAUAAAAAAAUGAUAAGAAAAUGUUGAGAAGAUAUCUUGCCACGUCGGUAUAAAAGACAAAAUUUCAAAUUUAAUAUUCAAUGAUAUGGAUUCAUUACAAAAAAUGCGACAGAAUAAUUUGCCAAAUAUAAAAAGAAAAGGAGCUUAAUUUGAAGGAUUUUACAAUUGUAUAUUUUCUAUUACAAAUCUCUAUAUAUUAAUAAAGUUUCAUUCCUCACUCGAUGUGAGAGGAAUUCACCAAUUUUAAAUUUUCUUUAUGGUAUCAAAGCAGAAGGUCUUGAGUUUGAAUCACGCCAGGUUCCUAGCAUAUUAAUUUUCUCCUAUUUAAUUUAAGCCCACAUCAUAGGUCAACUAAAAAGUCUCGAAUUCAUGCGUGAAGGGGAGUGUAAACAUAACUGUGGCAAAGAAUUUAUACUGUGGUCCAAGGCCACUUAAGAGCCAAAAAAUCUUACUUUGAUCAGAGACAGGUUUGCCAAUAGCAUUUAAUUGAUCACAAAUCGACUUAAACUCUCGCAAAUAUGCAAAUAAGGAAGAUGUAUCAUUCUUUAUAUAUUGAAGUUUCGAAAGUAAUUCAAAUUCACGAGCCUGCGAAUUUGGAGAAAAUGUAUAUGCAAGAGCUUGCCAUACACCUGUUGAAGUCUUCACAUCUACAACAAGUCUCAGGACUUCUUCGGAGAGAGUUCUGGUGAUCCAAGUUUUCACUAGACGAUUCGUACGCGUCCAUGCUGUGAAAUCUGAAUUUUAAAUUUUGCUACUUUUGUCAGAUGAAGGUACUUCAUGAUGUGGUGGCUUUGAUUCUCCAGUGAUGAAACCAAGUAAAUCGCGACUCUCGAUUAAUGAUAAUACUUGUGUUUCCUACAGUAAAUAAUUGGCUGUGGUAUUAAUUUGAGAGAAAUGAAAUUAGCAACAUGGAGGUUGGAUAAAUAUGGAUAUUUGGAGGUUGAAGUCAGUAUCUUUGAGAAGGUGGUAGUCUUUCGGUAUGGCUCUGAUACCAUAAAGAAAAUUUAAAAUGAAUGAAUUCUUCUCACAUUAGGUGAAGGAAGAAAUUUUAUUAAUAUAUAGAGAUUUAUACAUGAAUGAAUAGAAAAUAUAUAAUUAUAAAAUCUUUCAAAUUAGGCUUUUUUUUUCUUUGUAUUUGACAAAUUAUCAUGUUGUGAUUUUUUUUUUAUAAUAAAUUUAUAUUAUUGAAUAUUAAAUUUAAAAUAUUGCCUUUCAUGGCCGGACAGUUGCAGUUGGUGCGGCCGGGAGGUGGGUCUGGGAGCUGAGCUGUCUGUUGUUUCGGAUCAGAACGGAGCCGCUGGCGUCCGCGUCAGCAGCUUCCGGGUCGGGCGGCUGGCAGCGGGGACGGAGUCGCUUCGGCGCUCCAANUCUCUCUCUCUCUCUCUCUCCCUCUCUAAUCGCCCCUUUGAGCCCCCCUUAAUAGCUUACGUCACUAAUGAAAUCAUCACCUACUAGCAAAGCCGGUUAGUCGGUGAGAGGACAAAUCGCAUUUAGACCCUCUGACCCUUCCGAAUGUUGCCAUUAUAGAUCCCUCUUGUAUUAAUCUAUAUUUUUUUUUCAAAUGUUGCCAUUAUAGAUCCCUCUUGUAUUAAUCUAUAUUUUUUUUUCAAAAAAAAAUAUAGUAAACCAUCUGUUCUAUUUUUUAAAAAAAAUAAAUUAAGUUAUAAAAAAAAGAAAGGUCGAGAGGGUGAGAUUGGACCCUAGAACAGUCUAUCACAGCUAGACCAAUCUUUACCGCAGAUUAUCCAAUCUCCUAUCCGAGUAAAUAUAUUGUUUACGAUCUGUAAAUAUGAUUUCUUUUGAUGUUUGAUUGUUCAGAAAUUCUGUUAUUUCUUUCUAACUAGAUCGUCCGCUACGAGGAUGUAAGCACGGUAAGUUUCUCACUUCUUCUUUGUAUGUUUUGAAUUUUUUUUGUUAUCUUUUAAAGAUCACGUUCUGGUUGUGCAAUGUGAGUAUAGAAGAAUAUCUUUAAAAUAAACUUAUAUGAGUAAGGCUUACUUUGUGAUGUAUUAAUAAGCUUAUAUGAUAUUGUUAGAAUGCGUGUGUUAGUAUAUCAGUUUUCUCCAUAUCAUCAGUAUUAAUAUAUUAUAAUAGUAUUUUGAAAAACUUACAGUAAUAUUUAAACUUUGAAUAGUCAUAUAAGUUUCUGUGUUUAUUUUAUUAGUUGACUACGAAAAUCAAUUUUCUUCUCAAUUGUUUCAAACUUUUUCUUUUUUCCUGUUAAUUUCCUGUCACCUCUAAACAUGCAAUUAAUUAAUUAAUAAAAACAUAUAAGGGUACAUAUGCAAAUUUCCCCCAGAUUAAAAUCAAGCCUACUGGUGGGGGCGGGUCCUUCUGCAGCCUUUUUGCCCUUCCCGCCAUUUCGGCUCCGCCUUUAUCUUUUAAGUUAAAUAUAAUAAAAUAAAUAAAUAAUCCAACUUUUUUCCCUUUUUUUUAAAAAUAUUUUUUAUUAUUUGAGUUACUUUGUCUUGGCCCCCACCCACUCUCUCUAUAUAUAUAGAGGCCAGAGGAAGGCCACAGUCCACAAUCAAAAGGAGAGGGAAAAAAAUCAUCACACGCAAACUCGCGGAGGAGAGAAAAAGGGAAAAGAGAGAAAAUUAAGUAGAGAGAUUCAUAGAAAAGAAAAAAAAAAAGAAAAAAAAAAAAAGAAGAUUUGUUUAGAAGAGAGAUGGACGCGAAGGGCGGUCGCGUCCAGAACGGAUUCCGACAGUGGCUGGAGGCGGGGAGCGACGCCAUCCCCGCUCCGGAUGUUCAAAUUUUGACCUCCGGUGGCCGCAAAAUUUCCGCCCAUUCUGCAGUUCUUGUGAGCACCCGAAACCUUCAAUUGAAAAAACAUUCAAAACUUUAUGUACUACAAUACAAUUAGAUACUCUCGAAUCGCAGAAGCUCACUGAGCACACAAUCGAUGUCUAAUCAUAUGCACUUUUUUUAAAAAGUAUUAAAUUUAUAUUUGUUUGUUUAUUUGUUUGUUUGUUUGUUUGUUUGUUUACAGGCCGCGGCGUCGCCAGUGAUGGAGAGUAUAUUGGAUCGGGCACAAAAGCGUGGAAAAUCGCGCAGGGUUAUUAGGAUUCUGGGAGUCCCCGAUGACGCUGUAAUGGCGUUUGUGCGGUUGAUCUACUCUUCUGGGUAUGUGUUCUUUUUUUUACCUUUUUUCCCUUCUUUUUUUUUUGGGGUUAAAUUGAUUAUAUUUAAAUAUUUAGUUAAAGAAAGGAAAAGUAAGUCUAAUGCAUUGAGGACCCUAUGUUUAAGGAGAAAUUAUUGCCCUGUAUCGUGAUGUAGUACCAUGCUCUGCUUUUAAUUAAAAAUAUUUUAAAUUUCGUUUGAUUCGGAUAUUAAUAAAAAUUAUUUAUUGUAGGAAUAGGUGCGAGUUCCAUUAUAAGCAAGAAUUAGAGUAAAUUUUUGUUUGUCAUUAUUUCUGAAAAUAAAAUAAAUAAUAUUUAAAUAGGUUUCAUUUGAUUCGGAUAUAAAUAUGAACUAUUUAUUGGAGAAAUAGUUACAAAUUCCUCUAUAUGCUGGAACUAGGGAGGGUUUUUUGGGAUUGUUUUUAAAAAUAAGAUAAAUAGUGUUUGAAUGGGUUCCGUUUGGUUCGGAUAUAAACAAGAACUACUUAUUAUAGGAAUAGAUACGAAUUCCGCGAUAAGCAAGAAUAAGGGUAAGUUUUUUUUUUGAAAUUAUUUUUGGGAAUAAAAUAAAUAGUGUUUGAAAAGACUUUGUUUGGUUCAGAACAGACAAGAACUAUUUAUUGUACGGAUAGGUAUAAGUUACGGUAUAAGCAGGAACUAGAGUAAGUUUUCAUUUGGGCUGAUGCACGGCUAAGCUGGUGCAUCGGGUGCUCGCAAUAAUUUCUCUUUGGACCCAUGUAAUCAUCAUGCUCAUCGUUAUCACAUGCACUGUUCGAAACUAAAGAAAAAAAAAUCAAGGGUCCAGAAUCUUUCUGAUGGCUCUGAGAAUUUCACAUUUCCCUGUCGAAAAUUAUUAUUUUUUAUUUUUUUUAAUAUUUAACUUAAUUCUUAGCUGGGGGUCCCACGCAACUCUUAUGUCGUCCCCUUCAUCCAAUCACAGCCCUCACACGGUCCAUUUCGUUCUAAUGAUGAUAGGCAUAAUAAUUGACUCAACACCACCGAGAAAUUUCGAGAUAUUUUUUUCGUGCUUCAGAUUUUUUUUUGGGGGUUCAUGUGCCACGAUGCAUACAUAAUGCAUAGUCACAAUAAUUUUAGUUUUUAUUUUUUUCACUUCAUUAAGGUAAUGAAGAGUACACAAAUUUUGGAUGUGACUGAAUAUCAAUGAAUAAUAAAAAAUAAAUUAAUCAAUCAAUAUAAGCAUUUUACACACCGUUUAUAAUAAAAUAUUAUAUUAAAUUUAAUCCGAAUGCUGAACUUAUGGCAUACUGAGUAGUACAAACGGAUCAUGUCAUGUCAAUCAGGUGCAUGUCGUUGGACGAGGAGGAGGAGAUGGGCAGGUACGGGCUGCACCUGCUGGUGCUGUCGCACGCGUACAGCGUGGGGUGGCUGAAGCGCGCGUGCGAGGUGGCGCUGGCGUUGCGGCUGACGGCGGAGGGCGUGGUGGACGUGUUGCUGCUGGCGCGGCAGUGCGAUGCCGCGCGGCUGUACCUCCGCUGCAUGAAGCUGCUGGCGAAGGACUUCGCCGCCGUCAAGAAGACCGAGGCCUGGCAGUUCCUCCAGGCCAACGACCCCUGGCUCGAGCUCGAAAUCCUCCAGUUCCUCCAGGAGGCCGAACUGGUACGUGACCAAAAUGUAUUAUGUUUGGUUUUGCCGUAGAAUAUAGUAAUUUUUGACAAUUCAUAUAAAUAAAUAAAUAGAUAGAUAAAAAGAUAUAAAAUUUAUCUGAAUGAUGAAUUAUUUUAAUAGAGAAAGAAGCGAGUUGGGCGCAAGCGGGCGUACCGGCGGGUAUAUGAAGAGCUGGGGGACGCGAUGGAGUGCCUGCAGCACAUGUACAUGGCCAGAGAGGGAAGCAAGAAGAACCACCCCUGCUCCUCAUCUGCCUGCUACCGCAACCUGCAGCUCCUCAUCCAACACCUCGCCGCCUGCCCCCGCAGGAAAGCCUGCCCCCGCUGCUGCCGCAUGUUGCAGCUCCUCCGCCUCCACUCCGCCCUCUGCGACGACAGCACGCAACAGGCUUGCCGCAUCCCUCUUUGCUCGUAAGUCUCUAUGCUGCUUUCUUAAAAGAAUUUGUUAGUUAAUGCUUUUAUCAUCCGCCUACGUUCAGGUGUAUCUGAGUCAUUUGGCUUUCAUAUGACUGAUGAUUGUUUAGGAAACAUUGGGAGGGAGUAUGCUGAGUUGGUGGUUGAUUGAUUUUAUAGUCUAUUUGGUACCACUUCUGUAUCUGUUCUCAGCAGCAGCAGCAGCAGUAUCAAGGAGAAAUUCUGGAGCUUCUGCUGUAGCGAGAAACUGAAAUUAGAUUUUCAACGUCAAAAACGAAUUACGUAAUGCUUCUUCUAAUAGCACGACAUCUAUUGGCAGUGUAAUCGCUCUAAUGUUUGGGGAGUUUGACAUAUUUUUCCUUUUAUUUUUGUUAGAGAACAAACUUAACCACUGAUGCCCUGCUUGUUGGGUUUUCCGUGUAUACCUGCAGGCAUUUCAAGCUGAGAAUGCAGCAGCAGAAGGAAGGGAAAGAAGAGGCCGACACAUGGCAGCUUCUGGUGAAGAAGGUGAAGGUUGCUCGAGUUAUGUCCUCCUUCUCUAAGAGGAAGGGACAGGAAGGAGUUCAUGAGCAAUUCGCACUUUGCACUACUACUGCAAGGACCAGCGACUAAUUUCAUAGAAAUUUUCUUUUUCCUUUCGUUCUUUCCCCCUAUUAGUACGGAAUUAAGAUGUGCCUUCCUUAUAAAGAGAGGAGCUUGAUGUAUGUAUAUGCAUGCCAAUCUUCUAGAGAGAGCUCUUAAUUAGCUUGUUAAAAAGGGGCAGACAGCUGUUAUAGAAAAUGAACUUGUAUUAGAGAGGAGCUUGGUGUAUGUAUAUAUAUGUCUAUUUUCUAGAGAGAAAGAGUUCUUAGCUUGUAAAAAAUGAGCAGGCAUCUGUUAUAGAAGUGGAACUUGUAUUAGAGCGGAGCUUGAUGUAUGUAUAUGUGUGCCUCUCUUUUAGAGAGAAAAAGUUCAGCUCUUAUAAAAGUGGAUCUUGUUUUAGCAUAAGAACAAUUAGUUACAUUUUGCAACUAACUUAAUAUAUAAUAUGCAAUAAGAAACUUAAGCCGAUCAAUUAUCGAAUGACGAACAUACUAAUGUCUUUUUGGAUGCUUAGCAUAGUAUUCAGACGUCCCUUUGGUAUGAUUCAAUAUAUAUAAACUAUAAUAUAGACUCAAAUUUUAUAAUAAUAAAGUAAUCUUUAUUUCUAUAACACACAAGUUAUUAUUAAAUAAUUUAUUUUACCAUUCAAAUGAGCCUUAAAAAUAACAUUUCCUCCACAUUUCCUGGUAAUGAAGCUGACCCUAGUUUUCUCCAUGCAAAUCAGGUUAGAGUCGAUAGAUCAGAAUGUCGUAAUCAAAUUACAAUCUUUGAAGUUUCCCUAAUGAAAGAGAUCUCUAAGUUAAGAAAUUCGAGUCUAGUCUACAGUAAUUAAAGAUUAUUUGACAUGUAGAAUUAGGUAUGCAUGUCACCAAUGACUAAGUUGAAAAAGUCCAUUAGUACGUUCUAUUAAUUUAAUUCAUUGUCACGACAAAGAGGUUUUCUUACUGUGAAUUAAAACUGACUAUUUGGUACAUUUGGCGAAAAAUUGAGAUCCUAAUUUUCAACAAUUUAGUACCAUAGUCCAACGCAAAAUUCAUGAAGUUUUAAGACUUGUCCAAAGUAACUUGUGCUGGGAGGUCUUAAGACUUGUCCAAAGAACCAAAUCAAGCAAGUCCUCGCGCGUUUCUCUCUCUCUCUCAAGCGUCCAAUUGCAAUACAAGAUGCAAACUUUCCAACAGUAAGUUGAAAAAAUAAGACAUGCAUAUAGUGAAACAAGAAGCCUUUACGAAGGUUCCCUAUAACAAUUCGAGGCAAUUAGGGCUUCAUAGUCAUGUGGUAAUAUUCUAGUACUUGUAAUUAAUACAGAGUUAUGACUUUUUUAUGGAAGCUCAACAACCCUUGAUGGGCUCACCGCAAUUACUGGUGCUCAUAAGUCACUAUUAUUUGAGUGUUGCAAAUAGGAAACAAUGAGUACCAAACAAAGAUGACUAGUAAAUCAGGAGCUACAGGAUUAAAGGAACAAAAAAAUUUAACUUCCAUGCAGUAGUAGGAUGUACCUGUGUGUUUACAAAUGAAGGAAGGGUAUCAUCCCUGCGAUGCCACAGGCCGCCAAAUAUGCACAACACAUUUAUCAGCAUUCGACAGUCGGGCGAGGCAUGGUUCCGAACGCAUUCACCCUCCUAACAACAGCAAAUGAAUUCACCCUAAAACCCUAAGAAGUUAAAUAUCAACGGCACUCGUAUAGCAACUAGGGCAAAAUGCCUGCUACAGCCCGUAAAUCUCAAAAUUUUCAUGUCUGUACAGAUUAUGAGCCUUCGCAAAGCAGUAGUACCUCUCUGGCAUACAACAUUUCGCACCUCCUCCUUUCAGCACGCUCCAGUUUCUCAGACUUGGCAUUUAAGCAUUCUUUCCGACAGCCUGCAUGUCUUCUAACCCUGCCACUGCAUGUAGCAAUGUCCUCAUCACGCACGAAAGCAUCGCCAAAGCUCCACCAGUCUCCGCGCAUCACUUCAACCACCAAACCCACACUAAAUCUUUCAGCCUCUUAGCAAUGCCAUGCGGCGACGCAUCUUGAGACCUGCCGCUGAAGCGCGGGCCAGAUUAUCGAAUUUCAUAAAUGUAUGGGAAGAUGAGAAUUCAACUCGUCAUCCCUUUUGUGCUGCAUCCCUUUCAUAAAUGUAUCGGAGUAGGAAUUCUAAUUAUACUAAGAUUUGGAUAGCUUUCGAUAUAAGCUAUAAAUAUAGCAUAUGUGCUAUUAUUAUGAUGGUGCUAUAGAUUAGUCACACCCAUAUGGCAUGGCCAAGAUGGUCAUAAUUUUAGUUGCACCUAAUGCAUGGGUUCAAAAGGACGUGUGCGGCUUUCGUAGCCGUGGGUCAUUGGUAUACCUUGUGUACGGAUACACGGGAUGAGAGAGAUGUUUUCCGAGAGUAUAGAAGACGAGAGAAUGGUAGGAGAGAUUUAAAAAGAGGGCUCGAGUUGUAGCUACUCUGUGCAGAAGAGGAGUCAGGUGUAAUUUUCUCUUAUUUAAUUAAUCUUGUUCUAUCCGCAUAUUUUUCUCUCUUUUCUGAUUGUAUCAGCUUUCGCUGAGGAGACGGGUUUAUGAUAAAAAUCCGAUUCGAAGCUUUCGUUGUGAAAUCCCAAUAAUCGGUACUGAAUCCACAGCAGUCGGUAUCGAAGCGUGUUGCGGAUUUACAAGAUCCGGUAACGGAGCGAGUAUCGGAUUCCCAACAAAAUACAUAAGGCUUCAAUACAGCAUCUCUAUAGUAGGCUUCGUCCGGCCAGUUGGCAACUCUUUCGCUAUCAGUAAGGCGACCUCGAUAGAAAUAUCUCGAUGGAAAAUCACGAAUUUGAGGAUGCAUUCUGUACCGCACAGAUAACAACAUUGUAGGACAGCCUGCUUGUUGGAACCUCUCAGACCUGCCACUGCUAGCAUUCUUGUAGCUCUCGGGAGCAAGUUUCUUGAGCAGGGCAGUGUAAUGAUGCUGAUAUACUGAACAAGAUGUAUCACGUUAAGCAUUCCCCCACACCGUGCGUGUCUUUCCGGUUCCUGGCGGACGUUGAACUAGCGUGAAAGGCCAAGGAUCUUGCCUCUCCGCCGCUCCAGUGCUUGUACCAGCUGCAGUAUGCAUUGCAGCCCACCGAACAGCAGCCAAUUGCGGGCCAUUAAAGGUCCGGUGAAGAUGGUCCACAAAAUUUUGAGGGAAGCAAUUGUGUUAGUGAAAAACUCAAAAUUUUGAAUUUAAACUUUAUUUUAUUCGAACUUUAAAUUUAUUUAUUAUUUAUUUAUUUAUUAUUUUGUUUUCUCUUUUAGUGAGAAAGAAACCAACGGAAUAUUAAAUCUCCUUUCUUUCCGCAGGUUCCGCUUCUUUCUCGUAACGCGAAAGAGCAUCAAAUUCUCUUUCUUUUUAUGUCAUUUUUUUUUUCUCUUCUGUUAAUACAAAAUAGAUAGAAAAGAUAUUAGAUAAUUGAUUAAUUCAUCUUUCAUUUUUGAAUAUUUUCUUUAUUCACUGGGUGUUGAAAAACUCUCCGUCAACCUCGUUUACGAUCGUCCUCAAAGGAGGAGGAAUUUCGGUUGUAUCUUGGGUAUUAUUUCGGGUUAAUCCCGCACGUAAGGACGGAAAUGCGCCUUAGCCCUUAGGGGAGUGCCUCGCACACUUUCGAAUAAGAUCAAAUUUUUAUUGAAAUAUUUGUGUUUAUCUGUAAGUUUGAUUUUAUCUUUAUCACAAAUUAGUUAGAUUUUAAUUACUAUCGAAUUUUUCGUUGUAGUUUUUUCACAACAGCAAUCAGGCAUAGCUGGAGGCUGAUCUUCAUACUUGGGAUAUUUUUUGAAUAUCGCAUUAACAAAUAUCUCAAAAAUUUCAUGGACCACAACUAGAUGGAUGCACAGUAGAUAUUACUGUGUCCAGAUGGACAUAUAUACUUGGACAGCUUUCAUAACUUGUAUUUUUUUGUUUUUUCCUCAAAAAAGAAAUAGUAUUAAGGUACAUUUUAAUUUAUCAUGAUAAAAAAAUUAGAGGUCGAGAGGUUGCCAACCUACAUAAGUUUAGUAGAGUCUCUUUCUAAGCAGCGUAAGUUCUAACAUUUACGUCUAAAUUUCUAGUGGUCUGAUGAUAAUGUACACAUAAUUUAUGCACAUAACCUAUUUUAAGAUUAUGACGUUCGAACCUAUGUAUGUGCCUAUAAGAUUUUUUCAAUUUAUUUGGAACAGGUGUUUAGAAUAGAUUUUUGAAAUAAAAGUAAUAAGAAAAGGAAAAAAAAGAAAAAGACAUUGAGGUCGCUUCUGGCCCCAGCUUUUCAUGAAAUCUACACGCGCCGUGGACCAUGGAUUGCAGUGUCGAUGGAACAAUCUAAAUCUAAGCACCCAACCCAUUUCAUUCAAUUUGAUCCUAGCCGUUGGAUUUCAAUAGUGCUAAUUAAUGUUGCCAAAGCAUUAUUAUUAGAUAAUUACUCGAAAAAAAAUCUUGUUAAUUGCCCGAAUCUUUUUUUUUAAAAAAAAUAAAAUUUUCUUUUAAAAUAGUUUGUAUUGUGGUUUUAGAUUGAAAAUUUUAGACACCACAGAAAGAAUGAGAUGACCUGAAUGAUCCACAGUUGGUGCGGUGCACCAAGCAAUAAUUUAACAUUGCUUAAUUUCUCGUAUAGCCACGCUAGAGUCCGGCUACUAUAUUCUUAUGAGUGUAGGUCUUUUUGUACUUAUAAUUUUUUGAUCGUUAGAUCUAGUCUUUCGAUGAUUUCCUCCCGUUAGAUUAUACUAUUCAAUUAACCACUUACUCAACCCCAAAGGACUACUAUCAUUCUAACCGGGAAUCACUAUUAUCCCAACCGCACAUCUCUUCAUCCAACAGCCGAAGUUUUCAUCCAACAGCUGAAAACUUCUGAGUAUAAAUGUGUCUAUAUAUACUCAUAAGAGUAUAGUAGCCCUAGCCGCUUGGCUAUUUGUACAUUCUGAAAAAAGUAAUAAAUUUUACAACACAAGUUGUGUCGAUGCGUAUCAAUCACAAAAUAAUAACAGUAAAUAUUUAUCUUUUUCACACCAAUAUACUAUUAACUAUUUACUAAUUUACUAAAAAAAUAAAUUUUAAAUCGUGUCAUCACCUUACGGUGGGAAAAUUAUACUAUGCUGAUAUUUUAUAGGUACGACACAACACAGUAGGAACUUAAAAACUUUGGAUUCUUUACUUGUUUUAAUCAAAUCCAUUGCAGGUAUUUGCAAGACACUAGUAUGUCUAAAAAUAUGAUAAGAAAAUGUUGGGAAGAUAUCUUGCCACGUCCCGUAUAAAAGACAAUAUUUUAAAUUUAAUAUUCAAUAAUAUGGAUUCAUUACAAAAAAAAAAUGCAACAGGAUAAUUUGCCAAAUACAAAAAACAGAGGAGCCUAAUUUGAAGGAUUUUAUAAUUGUAUAUUUUUUAUUCAUUCAUGUACAAAUCUUUAUAUAUUAAUAAAGUUUCAUUCCUCACUCGACGUGAGAGGAAUUCAUCCAUUUUCAAUUUUCUUUAUAAUAUCAAAACAGGAAGUCUUGAAUUUGAGUCACGUCAGGCCCCUAAUAUAUUAAUUUCUUCGUAUUUAAUUCAAAUCCACAUCAUAGGUCAACUAAUAAAUCUCGAGUCCAUGCGUGAAGGGGAGUGUCAACAUAGCUGUGACAAAUGACUCAUACUGUGGUCCAAGGCCACUUAAGAGCCAAAAAAUCUUUCUUUGAUCAGAGGCAAGUUUGCCAAUAGCAUUUAAUUGAUCACAAAUUGGCUUAAAACUCUCGUAAAUAUUCAAAUAAGGAAGAUGCAUCCGUCUUCAUAUAUUAAAGUUUUGAGAGUAAUUCAAAUUCACGAGUCUGCUAAUUUUGAGAAAAUGCACAUGCAAGAGCUUGCCAUACAUCUGCUGAAGUCUUCACGCCUACGACAAGUCUCAUGACUUCUUCGGAGAGAGUUCUAGUGAUCCAAGCUUUCACUAGACAAUCUGUGCGCGUCCAUGUCGUGAAAUCUGGAUUUUGAAUUUUGCUACUUCCGUCGAAUGAAGAUACUUCGUGAUGUGGUGGCUUUGAUUCUCCAGUGAUGAAACCAAGUAAAUCUUGACUCUCGAUCAAUGAUAAUACUCGUGUUUCUUACAAUAAAAAAUUAGUUGUAGUUAAUUUGAGAGAAACAAAAUUAGCAACAUUGAGGUUGCAUGGAUAUGGAUAUUUGGAGGUUGAAGUCAUUAUGUUUGAUAAGGUGGUAUUCUCUUGGUAAGGCUCCGGUACUAUAAAGAAAAUUUAAAAUUGGUGAAUUUCUGUCGCAUCGAGUGAGGGAUGAAAUUUUAUAAAUAUAUAGAGAUUUGUACAUGACUGAAUAAAAAUUAUACAAUAUUCAUAAAAUCCUUCAAAUUUGACUCCAUUUCAUUGCAUUUGACAAAUUAUCCUGUUGUUGUUUUUUUUUAUAAUAAAUUCAUAUCAUUAAAUAUUAAAUUUAAAAUAUUGCCUUUCAUGGCCGGACAGUUGCAGCUGGUGCGGCCGGGAGGUGGGUCCGGGAGCUGAGCUGUCUGCUGUUUCGGAUCAGAACGGAGCCGCUGGCGUCCGCGUCAGCAGCUCCGGGUCGGGCUGCUGGCAGCGGGGACGGAGUCGCUUCCGCGCUCCAAGAGCCGGUUAUUCAGCGAAAGAAACCUCGUCCCCUCUCUCUCUCUCUCUCUCUCUCUCUCUCUCUCGGAAACACGCACUCCCCCACUCGCCCCUUUGAUCCCCCCUUACUAGCUUACGUCACUAAUGAAAUCAUCACCUACUAGCAAGUAGCAAAGCCGGUUAGAGGACAAAUCGCAUUUAGACCCUCUCACCCUUGCGAAUUUUACCAUUAUAGAUCCCUCUUGUAUUAAUCUUUUUUUUUUUUGAAAAAAAUAUAGUAAACCAUCUGUUUUAUUUUUUUAAAUAAAUAAAUUAGGUUAUAAAAAAAGAAGAAAUGUCGAGAAGGAGAGAUUGGGCCCUAGAACAGUCUAUCUCAGGUAGACCUGAUCUUAAUGACAGAUUACCCAAUUUCUAUCCAAGUAAAUAUAUUGUUUAUGAUCUGUCAGAAUGAUUUCUUUCGAUGUUCGACUGUUUGGACAUUCUUUUUUUUUUUUUUUUGAGAGAUAGGUAGCACAUUACCCGCUUCGUAUAUUUCAUUUAGAAAUAAACUUAGUUAGAAAUGUAAAUCAACUAGGAUUUGCAUUUGGGUCUCGAAUACCAACCAUCAAAUCCUUUGUCACUUGCUCUAGGGACGGUCGGUGACUGUUUGGACAUUCUGUUAUUUUCUUUUAACUAGAUCAUCCAUUAUUAGGAUGUAAGCACCGUAAGUUUCUCACUUCUUCUUUGUUUGUUCUGAACUUUUGUCUGUUAUCUUUAAGAAAUCACAUUCUGAUUAUAUCUGCUAAGCUCGCUGAGUAUAGAAAAAUAUUUAUAAAAUAAAUUUAUAUGAGUAAGACUUACAUUGUAAUGUGUUAAUAAAUUUAUGUGAUAUUUUUAGAAUAUGUUUGUUAAUAUAUCAGACAUUUUCACAUCAUGAGUAUUAAUAUAUUAUAAUAGUAUUUUGAAAAACUUAUAAUAAUAUUUAAACUGUUUUUAUUUUACUAGUUGACUACUAAAAUCAUUUUUUGUCUCAAUUGUUUCAAACUUUUUCUUUUUCCUGUUAAUUUCCUGUCCCCUAUAAACAUGCAAUUAGUUAAUUAAUAAAAACUAUAAGGUACCGUUUGGUUCGGGGAUAAUGAAUUUGGGGAUAAAUUUUUUUAACCCUGGGAUAGUAGGCUAGUCUAGGAUAGUGAAGGAUAAAAGUAAAAUAGUGUUUGGUUUGUAAAACAAUCAUUACUAGGAAUAACAGAAAUUAUGUUUGGUAAGUUUAUUGGAAUAACUAAGAAUAGUGAGAAAAAGUGUUAGAUUAUUUUUGCAAAUACCAAUUUUGCCCUUAGGUUUCAUGUACAAAUAUUUUGUAAGUUACAGAACUAAUUAGAUUUUACAUUUAGCUAAGCAAGAGAACAUUUUAUAGACAUGAUUGUUGGAUUAAUUUUUUUUAAAAAUUUAAUGUCAGAAAUUAUGGUAGUAACAUAUGCUGAAGAGAAAAUAAUUAAAUUUAUGCACUUCAAGUCACUGUUAAAUAAAAUUAAUAUCGUCAAAUUAUACAAGAAGGUUGUUAAUUACAUCAAAUUUAAAAUUACAACAAAGUUCAAUGCUGCUUAAUUACUAUUAUACAAAACCAAACAGCAUGAAGGUAUUCAAGAGGAUGUUAAUUACAAAUUCCCAAAGGCAUAAAACCAUAAAGAAGACACAUUACAUUGAAAAAUAUCAACAACCAACUCAUACAAUUAUCAACUAUUUUUUCAAAUUUAAGCAAUUCAGAUUGCAAGUAACAAUGCAAAUAGUUAAAAAACAUCCGGUUACGAAAAAUUUUCAAACACCAAUUAGUGAAGGUUCAAGGUGAAGGCAAGAUACAUAACUAAAUAAAGCAAAUUACAAAGCAUGUUCACACAAAUUUAUAAAGAUUACAUCAUUUCUAAUAUAGCCUCCUAUCUAUUGUUCCACAAUUGCUCUGUGAUCAUAGUGCGAAGGGCGUCACCUCGCCGAGACUCAUCUGGGCCAAUAGGAGGUAUCGAGUCAUCAUUUUGGUCGUCUGUAGGAAAUUGGUCCGUUUGCAUGUUGAAGUAUCUAUCGGUCCCUUGAUGCCUCUUUAUGAAAUUGUGUAUCACACAACAGGCAAGGGCAAUGCGGCACUGUACUUUGUAAGGAAAGGGUGUAGCUUGUCGCAGCACCUUGAACCGUCGCUUUAGGAUCCCAAAGGCUUUCUCAACUACAUUUCUCAAUUGAGCGUGACGAUGAUUAUAUAAAUCUCGAGGUCCUCGAUGCCUUCGUGCCUGUGCGUUUACAUCAAAUUGGCUCAAGUGGUAUCGCUCGCCUCGAUAGGGAGCGAGGAAGCGGUCAGUGUUCGCAUAGCCUGAAUCGACUAAAUAAAAUUUUCCUAAACAAAUAUAAAGCUUUAUUAUAAUUACAAUAAUUAAACUUGUAUCAGACAUUAAAUAGCAAUAUAAUUUAUUUACCUCCCGGUACUGUGAAACCGCCGCUCUCGCAACACCAUCGCAACACCCUCAUAUCAGCUGCAGAACCCUCCCACCCGGUGCAUACAAAUAAAAAUUGAUGGUCGAAAGAACAUGCUGCCAUCAUGUUGUGAGAUGUAAAACCUUUUCGGCAACGAUAUCUUGGUUGCUUAGCCUUUCGUACAACCACCGGAAUGUGUGUUCCAUCUACUGCACCAAUUGCAUUCUGAAAAAAUAUUUACAUAGAUACAAUAGUUAACAUCAGAUAUCUCAUUAUCAAAUAAACAUAAAUUAAUUCGACUAAUUAAAGAACUCAAAUCUGAGGGUUAGUUACCUUGAAUGGAUGAAAAAUCGGAUUAUCUUUUAUUCUUGGGUGUACACCAACAUUAGAUGCCGGUGGUUGGAUGUACUCAUGUCUAAGUUCUACCACACCUCGCAGUACAUUAUUAAAAUGCCUACUAAUCGUUUCUCCUGAAUGUUGAAAAGUUUCAGCUAAAACUCUGUUGGCUACGCCAUGACCUAUACCAAAUAAAAAUAUACCAAGUUGCUCAUUAGCAGUUAAAUGCCUAGUGCUUUGUAUAAAUCCCCUCGCAACUAAUUCAUCUCGAAGUCUUAUAAACAUUGUGGUAGUCAUCCUAAAAUGUUGGUAUCCUCUAUCAGGAUGUCCACUCAAUAUGUCAUGAAUUAACUGAUGACCAGUGAACGGCCGUGUUCGACAAGGCUGCUUAUAAAUUGUGCUGCGGAAUGAGAAGUCCCCUUCUUCGAUAAGUAACGCAUGGACUUCUUCCCAAUAGUCCUCUUCCUCUUCUAAGAAUGUCAUGAGAUCGGCAACAAGUGGUGAAGAAAAAGCUUGACGAAAGAUUGCACCAGCCAUGACUGCAAAUGAACAAAAGAAAACAUUCAUAACACAAUUAUAGUUAUAGAUUAAUUUAUAAUGGCUCAGGUAGUAAGGUAGAAAAAUAUGCAGGUGGCUGCAUGGUCUUUAACCAUGCCUCCCAACCUUGCACACCUAUUUGGUUAGAUAUCAGCAUCGCCAAAAGGAGAAAGAAGGAUGCAAGAAAAGAAAAAAGGGUAAAGAAGAUGUGAAGCUGAAGCAAGAAUCAGGUGCACAAGAUUAUAAGUGACAGUAUUGCAAAUAGUCAAGUAAGCAAAUUACUGCCUUACAGCUGAAAUUCCAUAUAUGAAUCAAAGCUGAAACAAAGUAUAAAUGGUGAUACUUUGUGUUGGCUCAGGUUUUAAGACCCACAACCAUGAAUGUGGAUGCAAUACCUUACGAAUCGCCGCCCAAUCCAUUCAAGCCUGCUAGUCUUUUAUCAUCAUUGCCGAAUUCAUUGCCAAUAUGACCACAUGUAGAAUAUGAUCUGGGAGAAGAAACAACUUACCUUGGGCGGCACUGAACUAACCACAUUACUGCAGGUUGGAAGAAGAAAUGAAGCAGUGAACAGUUGGAGAUCGAGGUGAAAUGGCAUCCAACAGAAUGUGAGUAAAAGCAACAAUGUUGCAAGUACAAGUAUAGAUGGUCACAUAUUGUGUUGGCUCAGGUAUUAAGGCCCACAAGCAUGAAUGGUGGAUGCAACACCUUACGAAUCGCCGCCCAAUCCAUUCAAGUCUGCUAGUCUUUUAUCAUCAUUGCCGAAUUCAUUGCCGAUAUGACCCACAUAUACAUUUAGAUGUAGGAGAAGAAAGAACUCACCUUGGGUAGCAGUGUUCUAACCACAUCACUGCAGGUUGGAAGAAGAGAUGCAGUAGUGAACAGUUAGAGAGGUGAAAUGGCAUCCAACAGAAUGUGAGUAAAAGCAACAAUGUUGCAAUUACAAGUAUAAAUGGUGAUAUAUUGUGUUGGCUCAGGUAUUAAGGCCCACAAGUAUCAAUGGUGGCUGCAAUACCUUAAUAUUGCCCCCCAAACCAUUCACACCUGCUACUCUGUUACACAUCAUUGCCGAACGGACCAACAUGUAAACCGACAGCUGACAGGAGAGAAGAAGAAAAGUUAUACAAUGAAGUAAACAAGCAGCGAACAAUCAAUGCAAAGAUAGGUAUACAAAGCUGUAUUCGAACUACACUCAUUUGUUAUACCUGAACUUUACAAUCUGAACAAACUAGUUUUACAAUGCAGUAAACAGGUAGUGAAGAAACAAUAUAAAGAAAGCUAUAUAAAGCUGUAGAUGAUCUACACUAAUUAUUUAUACAUGAACUAUACAAUCUGAACAAACAAAUUUUACAAUAAAGUAAACAGACAGUGAAGAAGCAAUGCAAAGAAAGCUAUACGAAGUUGUAUAUAAAUUACACCAAUUAGUUAUACAUUAUCUUUACAAUCUCAAAAAACAAGUUUUACAAUUUAGUAAACCUGACAGUGAGAAAUCAAUGCAAGUAAACCAAUACAAAGCUGUAGAUAAACUACACCAAUUAGUUAUACAUGAUCUUUACAAUCUGAACAAACAAGUUUUUCAAUAAGGUACACAGGCAGUGAAGAAAUAAUGCAAAGAAAACUAUACAAAGCUGUAGAUGAAAUUCACUAAUUAUUUAUACAUGAUCUAUACAAUCUGAAGAAACAAGUUUUACAAUUUAGUAAACUGACAGUGAAGAAGCAAUAUAAAGACAACUAUACAAAGCUGUGGAUGAACUUCACUAAUUAUUUAUACAUGAUCUAUACAAUCUGAACAAACAAGUUUUACAAUUUAGUAAACUGACAGUGAAGAAGCAAUAUAAAACAACUAUACAAAGCUGUGGAUGAACUUCACUAAUUAUUUAUACAUGAUCUAUACAAUCUGAACAAACAAGUUUUGCAAUUUUGUAAACUGACAGUGAAGAAUCAAUGCAAAAAAAGCUAUAAAAAGCUGUAGCUGAACUACACUAAUUAGUUAUGCAUGAACUUUACAAUAUGAAUAAACAAUUUUUUCAAUAAGGUACACAGACAGUGAAGAAACAGUGCAAAGAAAACUUUACAAAGCUGUAGGUGAAAUUCACUAAUUAUUUAUACAUGAUCUAUACAAUCUGAACAAACAAAUUUUACAAUUUAGUAAACUGACAGUGAAGAAUCAAUGCAAAAAAAGCUAUAAAAAACUGUAGUUGAACUACACUAAUUAGUUAUGCAUGAACUUUACAAUAUGAACAAACAAGUUUUACAAUGCAGUAAAUAGGCAGUGAAUAAGCAAUGCAAAAGAAGUUAUACAAAACUGUAGAUGAACUACAUUAAUUAGUUACAAAUGAACUUUGUAAGAUAGUUGGUGUCAAACUAAUGAAACUAAACAAACUCACAAAAAUGUACAUAACCAUGAACUUUGCAAUUAAAAGUUAAGGCAUACAACUUAAAUCAGUACAAAAUAAACCAUGAUCUAACUUAUCCUAAUCAUGAGUUAGAGCAAACAAAC